GAUGAACGCUGGCGGCGUGCCUAAUACAUGCAAGUCGAGCGAACGGACGAGAAUCUUGCUUCUCUGAUGUUAGCGGCGGACGGGUGAGUAAAACGUGGCUAACCUACCUAUAAGACUGGGAUAACUUCGGGAAACCGGAGCUAAUACCGGAUAAUAUUUUGAACCGCAUGGUUCAAAAGUGAAAGACGGUCUUGCUGUCACUUAUAGAUGUAUCCGCGCUGCAUUAGCUAGUUGGUAAGGUAACGGCUUACCAAGGCAACGAUGCAUAGCCGACCUGAGAGGGUGAUCAGUCACACUGGAACUGAGACACGGUCCAGACUCCUACGGGAGGCAGCAGUAGGGAAUAUUCCGCAAUGGGCGAAAGCCUGACGGAGCAACGCCGCGUGAGUGAUGAAGGUCUUCGGAUCGUAAAACUCUGUUAGUAGGGAAGAACAUAUGUGUAAGUAACUGUGCACAUCUUGACGGUACCUAAUCAGAAAGCCACGGCUAACUACGUG
Molecule: ribosomal RNA, 497 nt
Filed under: uncultured bacterium
Lineage: Bacteria
Description: partial 16S ribosomal RNA
Rfam family: Bacterial small subunit ribosomal RNA
Source: RNAcentral